CUCGGCGUAGCCAUCGGUCGCCCCUUGCGCCGCUGUACGCUGCGCCCAAAUCCUGUUUCUCCCCUAUUACCCCUCACCAAAGCCUUCCUCUGGUCUUCACAACAGAGGCUGCUGUCGUCGCUGCUGCUGGUGGUGGUUGUCUCCGCCGUGAGCCACUAGGUUGCUGCUCUCCCUGACGCAUCUCCUCUCCGUGGUCGUUGCCGAGAAGUGGUGGCUGUUGGGCGUCGUGUCGCUAGCAGUAAAUCCUGAGGACGACAUGCAUGGGAGUCUUGGGAGUAGCAUCUUCACCGUUUUCACUUCACGGAACUUACACCUAGUGUCCUUUAGGACCGUGUUUUGAGAACCUAGUACAGUUGUACUUUACUACCCGUGGUGGUUCAUCUUGAAUUUGAGAGAUACUCUCUUGGUCUGUAGCUAAUUUUCCCUUAAGACUAACGCCAUCGCCUAGAGUUACCGAGCAUGUUCUCGGUUUUGGUAUUGUAGCUUUGUGCUUUGCACCGGUGCUAGUUCUUUGCAAUAUAUAACUAUAUGAAUUACAUGUC
Long non-coding RNA from Triticum aestivum (bread wheat), 542 nucleotides. RefSeq lists it as uncharacterized. Lineage: Eukaryota; Viridiplantae; Streptophyta; Magnoliopsida; Poales; Poaceae. The record is from RefSeq and is a predicted model, not a curated record. The transcript has 2 exons.